AAAAAAAACCUCAAUGAAGAGAGAGAAAUUCUGUGCAGGACUGGGGUCAAUUUACGACAAAUACUUUAUAGCCAGGCUUGAAUCCUAUGCAGGCAGAGGAAAUUUUUAAGGAGUUGCUUAUAGUUUCACUCCCAUGAUAAUGGAUCCUUCUGGCAGCAAGGCAGAAGAAAUGUGCUUACUUCAUACUAUGCAGAAGACCCUGGAAACUCAGAUUCACCACCUGGCAUAAUGACUCCAGAGAGACCAAACGUAACAGUCACCAGUUGGGCUGCUUUCUUUUCCAUUCCAGUUUCACACAACAAAGGGAUCUGCAGAUUUUAUUUGUUAUUUAUUUAGACUCUAAGAAAGCCCGGUUUAAAAUAUUAUCCUGUCCAGUAUGCGUUUCUGCUAAUGGCAGCUCAGAGUAAAUGUGCUGUUUUCCCUCCCUGAGACUGUGAAGUAAGGUCGCCCACAGUGUAAACACACUGAAAUACGCAGCAAUAAUCAGAAUCAUAAGAUCACAGAAUGGCUUAGGUUGGAUGGGCCUUAAAGAUCAUCUAGUUCCAACCCCCUGCCAUUGGCAGGGCUGCCACCCACCAGCUCAACUGCCCAGGGCCCCAUCCCCACUGGCUUUGAGCACCUCCAGAGAUGGGCACCCACAGCUCUCUGGGCAGCCUGUGACAGCGCCUCACCACCCUUUAAACAAAAACUUUCUUCCAAACAUCUAACCUAAAUCUCCCCUCUUUUAGUCUAAAGCCAUCUCCCCUUGUCCUGUUGCUAUCAGACCUUGUAAAAAGUCAAUCUCCCUCCUGCUUGCCAGUUCCCUUCAAUUAGUGGAAGAUUGCACAAGAGUUUAGCCUUCUCUAGUUAAAGCUAGUGAGGAUUUUGUUGAUGGGAGCUGGCUAUAAUGGAAUACAAAUCAGGAACUAAAACAUUAUUUUUUGACUUUGAGCCAAAUCUAAAAGAUACUAUAGCUCUGCACCAGUCCAAAGCUGCAAGCUCAAAAAGCUUCACUUCCUUGCACCUACUUUUGUGUUUGCCUGACAUGCUGAGACACUUUUCCAGGUGGAUGAAGCUCUCAGCACCUAUAAAGAGCUACAGUAUGGCCACGUCUGUCUAACUGAGCCAGAAUGUGACAAGUCCUUGUGCAGUUUCUCCAGCCUGUAGACGUUACUGGAGUGAAUGGAAAGUCUCUGGGUAAGUUUCCUUGUUAAAAUGCAGUUAUAGUUCCCUUUGCCUUUAGGACUUUGGAAAAGAAAGGGCUUGUGAUGGUUGUUUUCCAUGUAGUGGUGGUACUGCUGAGGCUUCUUUCCAGCAAGUGGAUGACCCAGGUUUAUACUCGUCUGAGCAGGAAAGCCCCUUUUCCAAAUAUUUCAGGCGAAUAUCCUAAUCAGUAAGAUGGGAAAUCAAAGAAGGAAGCAGAUUAUGAUGUUUUAAAGGGGAACACCUGCAUCUAAUGCCUUCUCCAGGGACUGCACCAUAAGCAAGAUCAUGUUUGAAUAGCACAAAUGCUAUUCCUCUGCCGCUGUUUGAAAACAGGAUAUGAGAACGAGACUCAGUUACUCAACAAGACCUAUGGGUAUCUGGUUUUGGGAAACUUCUCUGGGCUGGGUCUCCAAAAGUUCUGCAGCCUGUUGACCGGCAAGAAGCAUCCCUGCACUAUGGGGUGGCCACAUUUAAUACUUCCCCAGUGUAACACAGGGCACAAGCCUCAGCAGUGUUUCCUAAUUUAUAGCUCAAGGCAGCUCCCUGCUCUGGCACUCAGGCGGUCUCUACUGGGUUCCAGAGGGCAAUGAGCAAACUGAGGGCCUAGGUAUGUAAUCUGGGGUUCUCAGUUGUCCAGUGCUGCUGGACAGGUAAAAAACAGGUGUCACAGUGACCAACAGUGUGGAUAGACAGCAGGGUGAAAGGGUGUGUGGAGCUCCCUUCUUUAAUAGCGCUGCAGUGACACAUAUGUUAUUAGCAUGUGACUGGAUAAAAAGUUUGAAAACAAUGGGCUGCUGAUUGUUCUCCUCACUCUUUAGGUCUUUUAGUUCAUAGCACUCAAAGAGUGUACUGUCUACCUUAAAAUAGAAUAGAUAUAGGUAUUAAAAACAAACAAAAGAAACCAAAGGAAGAAAAACCUCAUCAACCAACCUAUCGCUCAUUAGCUGAGAAAAGCAGCUUUAUGUUACUGUCCAUUUAAGACCUUACUAACGCAGAUUUCUGUAUAUAUACAGAAUUACUUGUAAUGAGUAAUGGGCAGUAUAUUUAUGGAAUCAAUAUUAAAUUGGCCCUUAAGUAGUUUAAAUUCCUUUGAAGCAGAUUCACAAGGAACACUAGGGCACUCUGACAUCCAGUUGGUACCAAGCUGGGGUCAACGUUACCGAGAGUGUAACUAAUUUUAACACAUAGAUAGACCUGAUUGUAAGAUGGAAACUCAUCUGACCUAUUUUGGAUUUCUAGUUUUGGGUAAGAUGUGCUAUACACUGAAGUGCCUCUUUUUCACAACUCAUUUUUCCAUGGCUUACUCACUGGAGACUUCAGGUUUUCAGCAUCUGUAGUUAGUUUGCAUAAAUCCUACCUCAGAGUCCAAAUAGGAGCUGGGAAUAUCAUCACUAAGUAUUAUGCUCAUGUUGCAGUGCGGAGUCUGAUUUGUUGGAGCUGGUAAUAGGUAACUGUGCCAGGGUGUGUUCCUGUGUUCAUUUCAGGAUAAGCAGUUUUCUGCCUUCUUUGAAACAAUGUGAUCACUACAGAAGUCAGCCCUACAAAAUCCAGGGCCAAACUUUCUGAAAGGGCUUCAAUACCCAUCUCCUCUGGAAACGAUGAGAAAUAGGUGCUUAAUUUCUUCUUGAGGCGGGGACUGUUUCAUGUCCAUGCAGGGCUGCAUUUAAUGUCAGGGGGCUUCGAGUUUAUGCAAGUAGUGCUCUUUCAUAAAAUCCUGGUAUCUGAUUGACAUAUAUUUGAGCUUUGCCUGUCACUUCAAAUCCAUUCUCAACUUUUGUCUUGCUAUUCAAUGUCACUUCUAGGUUGAAGUGCAUUUUUCCGGCAGCUACACAGCAGUUUCUAUGGGUUAAUCAUAGGAUGGCUUGGGUUGGAAGGGAUCUCAAGGAUCAUCAAGUUCCAAACCAAGUUAACACAUAUUUUGUAUGAAAUAGUGCAGUAAACAAAUUCAUAAUGUGUCUAUUGAAAGAAACUGUGAUAUAAGUUGAUUAACCAUUGUAUCCACAUCCUUAAGGGAAUUUCAAUAAAAGUCACCUGAUUCUAAAGGACCCCUAACUACGUAAAUGAGAAUAGGAUCACCUUUAAGCAUCAUGAACACUGGCUGAAAUUUAAUGGUCCUGACUUAUACAGUUGUGUAAAGAAAAGGAUUUUAAUUUUUCUUAUUGCUGUUAUAAUUCAUGAAAGUGUUAGAGCUCUCACAUCAGAGUAAAAAUGUCACUAAAACAUCAUUAGUUUGGGCAGAAAUAUAAUUAGUAUAAUGGGCAUAUACACUCGGAACAGCUGCUUUUUUGACAACAUUAAAUCCAUAGUCACUUUUAUGCAGAUGACCAAAAAUAGUAAUAAUAAUAGUAUUACUUUUCUAUCAUGAAAUCCCUUUCACCAACACAGCAGAGUGUGCAGAAUUGUACAUUCUAAGACCUGUUUUUUAAGAGGUAAGAAAUUCUGAAUUGAAACACUUCCGGAAAAAAAAAAAAAAAAUCACUACUUAUAGGAAAACAAAGCAAAACAAAGAGACAAACCCAUGACGGUCCUACAUUCUGCUACGAUUCAGCUCCUUCAUCACUGGCAAGAUAUUUGCUCCAGCAUGGUUUUCUCAGAUAGAACAGGCUCUCUGUAACAUGCCCAGGCAUAACUGACCUGGGGGAGGACAUUCUUACCCCAAUCCCUAAAGUCUUCCGAGGCCUGACAUAUCUUUGACCUACUUUAGAGUGAGCAGGAUAUCUAAUGCAGUUUAGAUUCAACAGAUGUUCAAGAGAUAAAAAUAGAGGAAGUGAGACGCAAUUCUUCACCAGAAAAAAUGCAAUGCCUAACAUACAAACACAUUCCAAUACAUUCUCAAUCUUCAAAAAAUUCUUGGUAUUUUGAUGUUGAAUGUCCUUGCUGUACCAGGCAUGUUACUCUUCUGUCCAAUAGGAGUUUCAGAAGAGGUCAUAAAAACAUCCUGGAGUCUUGUCUUUGCCCUUGUAUGCAAUAACAUGACUGCAUGCCAAUGUAUAUGUUAAAAAUACAGAGGAAGAAACAAAGAGACCGAGUCAGUGCUUCAAAACAACAUCUACAGCCAUGAUUAGAGCAGUCCUCAGAGUUCAGCUCUCCAGUCUGCUCCAUCUGGAGAACGUGAAAUCCCUUGUCACAUCUCACAUUGUUUCAGGAAGUGAUGGCAAAAGUCUGAAGUGGGCUCUGGCCAAGGCCAUGGCCAUUCAGCAAGGCCAGCAGGCCUGGCUCCCUGCCUGUGGACAGAUGCACAGCUGACAUCUGUGUCCUAUUUGGCCCUCACUGCUGGAGUAACCCCACCGAUAGGCUCUCAGUCUCAGGCAGGGAAAGGUUCUAAUCAAAACAUUCUAUCCACAGUAAAGAUAAAAUGGAGUGGUUUUGUGCAGCUGUGUGUGCAUGAGUGCAUUCGACUGCUGAAACUCUUAGAAAGAUUAGAUACAGAAUAAGUAAUUUUUCCCCUUUUUAAAAUUUCACACUUAAUUUAAAGCUAUGAAUUUCCAUUUAAAACACUUUGUUCACCAUGUGAACCAUAAACAGUUUAUGCAAUAAUGCAUCCUCUGAAACCAAAACACUGUUUCUGUGAGUAGUGGACUGGCAUGGUGAAUGCAUGAUCCGUGUAUAUACAGAGUGGUUAAACAAAUAAGCACUUGUGGUUAUCUAAAUAUUAUGAAGAGUUAUCUUCUGCAAAAGGCAUUUCUAUUUUUCUUCUUUUGUGUAAUGACUUAAUACCAAAAUAUUAUUAAAUACAUUAAAAAACAAAACAAAACAAAACACCCACAGGUACAUAUUCUGCAAGUCAAGAAUAUAUUAAAUGCAUUAUGCUCUGUUUACCAGAAGUAAUGAUCUUAUGCUGACACAGUUCAUCCUAAAAAUAUGCUUUCUAAAAUAUUGUCUCACAAAUGAAAAAAUGGGGACACACAUGAAAAUUAUAGCUGAAUAAUUGCAUUUAUGGCCUAAAGUUACAACAGCCAGAAAAGUCGCAGAUAAGACAGGGCAUGCUUUUUACUGCAGAAUUUCCUGACUGUUUGGUUUCUAUCUCAUCCUUAAUGCUAUCUCAGUGCUAUUUUAGCCUGUGAAUUGAAUUUUCUUUUAAUUUGAGCAGAUCAUAUAUUCAUUUGUAGAUGCUCUAUCUUCAUCAAUCAAUACAUUACGCCAGGCAGCUUCAUCUCCUCCUGAAAGAUAACCUUGGAUUAUGUCAUGGCUCAAUUCCGCAUUGCCCCUGCAGAGAUAAUGAAUUCGCACAUGUAAGAGGAUCAUUUACCAAUGGGGGUGGGAUGCUGUUUUGAGCAUAUCAUUUCCAUCUGCCACAGAAUGAUUCCAUUUGCACAAAUCAAUCUCCUGGAGGAGGAUUUCUUAGCUACAGUAAGCACACUGUAGGCACUGUGUAGCAGAGUGUGUCGUCUGACAGGAGAGAAAGCAGGGAUCACAUUGCUGUUGCCCCUGAAAGUCAUAGCUUUGCUUCCCCUCACACCAAGCUCGAGAACAAUUCAAGGAUGGGGCAAACAAGGCCUUCCUUCUCCUUUUGAGGGGCUGUGGCUCUUCAGAGGUGAGAGGAGGAAUGCUUUCUUGUUCGGGUGGUCUGGUACAAGCACAGACAUAGCUGAACCACUUCCAAAAAGGCUCAGUCCUAACUGUGACAAACUCUGUCAGAUGCAAAAACAGGUACUGCUGUGAGAUGGCCUCUUUCGUACAGACUUAAGAUUCCAUUUAAUGGCUCCCAGAGGAGAAUUGAGCCAGUAUUUAAUUAAUGUGACUAAAAUUAUGCAUUUCAUCAACUGUACACCAUAUUAAUCGCACAUAUCACAUUGAAAAAUGAUGCUCUUCAAGCAACUUCGCUUUUAUGGAGUAAAGUUUGCAAGAGCUAGUGCAAAUGAAUGCCUAAGAAAGGCGUGGGCUCCCGGUGUGAACAAGGAACAGUCACAUACCAGUUCAGUGACUGCAAGUCAGGCAUCAAUAGCCAAUGUAAAGUAGAUCAUAUUACAUAUUACACCAGUUAUCAUAUGCCAGCAAGGACAAAUUAUGCACAAGGAGAAAGGAAUGAUAGCAAUAGCUGAGUGUCUUAUGGGCUAUGAGUAUUUGCAUCCCCUGCAAAAUUUUGGAAGAAUUGCAUCUGCACUUGUUCUGGUGUUGUCCUCCAUCUUAGGCACGAGACAGUGGUGAGUUUGCAAGAGCAGGACAGGACCUACUUGAGUUGUGUGGGUGCUGCUUAGUGGAGCCACCUUUCUUCCCAAGUGCCUGUAUGUGCGUAUAGCUCAAAAAUCAUGGGUAAAGUACGGUUUCAAGGAACUCACUGGAUCCCGCCAUUUCAGUUCUAAGUGUUGCAAAGAAAACAAAGGCUCCCUCAGUUCAUUUGCAACCAUAAAUUUCAUUUUCUAUAUAGACCUCUGAAGACCUGUAGCGUGUUUCUAGGUGUAGCUGCUGUUGGACUGGAAGUUUCUGUGGCUUCUCCACUUACAUGGAUUGUCAUAGUAUAUGCAGGGUCAGAAGCAACCUUUGUCUUGGUGGUAUAUUGUGCGCAUUCAUGCAAUGUGUGGGGAGGACAGAAGAUCUCAAUUUAGUGCAAAUUACAAAUUACAGGCAAACAUUUCAUUUGGUAUCCUUUCACAUUCAUAUUCAGAAAAAAAUUGUAUUUUUUUUACACAAAGCCCACUUUUUCUGUCGUAUUUCAAUCUAUUGCAUGUCAUUGUUCAGUCCACAUUGUGUAAUGCUGUGAUCAUAUCAGCUGUCAUAAAGGAUAAUUUAGUAAUAACAAAAUGUGUCCUGAUGCAGCUUGACAAGAUGAAAUUUGCAAAAAAUAAAUAUGGUUCCUGGCCAAUAUGCAUUCACUGUAAUGACUUCAGGCAUCCCUCCCUUAAUGAAUUACAAACCAACAAUAGUCUUCUGAUUGGUUUUUGGCUGCAACAAACAGGGAAUGGUAUGACUAUUAAAUAUCUAUGGGACAUACUUCACACUGGCGUACAGACUUAUGGAGAGGUGACACAUAUACCAUGUAGUUCUUAACAGGUUAUCCUGAUUACUUCUUCUGGUUCUCACAGGUAGGCAAAAAGUAUGAAUUCACUGGAGCAGAUUUUUCUUUUGGAAAAACAUAAAUCAAUCUGAAUUCAUUGAAACUGUGUUUUUUUUUUAAGAGAAAGUGUUCAUAAAUCUUGGAGAUAACUUUUAUUUUUUUAAAAGAUCUAUAUUUUAUGACAGACAGUUUAAAUUUGCACCUGAGACCAUAAUAGUUACUAUGAAAGGAGAAUGGAUAACAAAUGGAAUGGAAGGACUCCCAUUAAGCAUAAAAUUACUCGACAAGAACCACCGUGAAUCAAUUAAUCAUAAUGUAACAGGACUUUAAUUUUGGGGCAUUCUCAAAAUCCAAAAUGUUUACAUCAUUUUUCAUUGUAACAAAUAUGAUUAUCAUUGUUUACAGCUGAUGAAACACAUGAUUUUUAUCACAGUAAUUAAAUACUUGUUCAAUUGUUUUGAUUUUUUUUUAAAUUUAUUUUCUAGUAGUCUUCAAAUUGAAUUCUAAGGCUAUCUAUAAGGCUGUCUAAAGGAGACUGUGACAAUGAUGCCCUUCCACCCUUUAGAUCGUGUGCAAAAAGGAUCAGAAAAAUGAAUUUACAGGACAGCAUGAUCAUGCAAGACAUAUCUGUAGUUUAGAGUAAGGCUUGGAUCCAGGUUUGUUGCAGAGAAAUAACAUAAGGCAUUUAGGACUACAGUAAGACUAUUAUAAAUAGAUAGUUUUAUUUCAUAGAAUCAUAGAAUGGUUUGGGUUGGAAGGGACCAAUAAGAUCAUCUAGUUCCAAGCUCCCUGAUGUAAGCAGGGACACCUCCCACUAACCAGGUGCUCAAAGCCCCAUCCAGCCUGGCCUCAAUGCCUACAGAAAGGAGGCAUCCACAACCUUGCUGGGCAACCUGUUCCAGUGUCUCACCACCCUCACAGUAAAUAAUUUCUUCCUAAUAUCCAGUAUAAAACUACCUUCUUCCAGUUUAAAGUCAUUUCCCCUCAUCCUGUUGCUACGUGCUUUUAUAAAAAGUCUUUCCCUAGCUUUCCUAUAGGCUCCCUUCAGGUACUGGAAGGCCACUAUAAGGUCCUCCUGGAGACUUCUCUUCUUCAGGCUGAAGAACCCCAACUCUCUCAGCCUCAUUUGAAUGAGAAUAUUAUUUUGUCACCAGUGCUUCAGAUUUGUCCCUCAGUUAUUUAUCUCAGUAUUAUUUAAACAUUCAAAAUUAUUGACACCUUCAUAUGCCAGCUAACAGGACUGCAUAUUAUUCAAGAACAGGUAGAUACAGAUAGGUAUAUUAGCUGUGUGACUGCAGAGGGCAGACUUGGCAUCACCAGUAUUUUUAUUUACAUGGAUUCACUCAGUAAGGAAUGCUAAUUAUUCAAAUAGCCUAAAAGAAGGUUCCUGAUUAUUGUCCCAUGGAAACAAAUGAUGCCAAAACCAAUUUUUGAAGAUAAUUUUCUUUGCAUUUUUUUGCAGAUUCCUAUUAAACUAAAAUUUUGAAAUGUAAAAUAGAAAUAAGAGCUUAAAGAAAGAAAACACUGAGGGCACUAACUUGUUUCAAAUUUUAUUUUAAAACCAAACAAAAAAAAGAAAAAAGAAGAAAAAAUAAAAAGAAAAAGGAAAAGAAGAGAAAAGAAGAAAAAAGAAGAAAAAAGAAAAAGAGAAAAGAAAAGAAAAGAAAAGAAAAGAAAAGAAAAGAAAAGAAAAGAAAAGAAAAGAAAAGAAAAGAAAAGAAAAGAAAAGAAAAGAAAAGAAAAGAAAAGAAGAGAAAAGAAAAGAAGAGAAAAGAAAAGAAGAGAAAAGAAAAGAAAAGAAGAGAAAAGAAAAGAAGACCAAUCAACCAACCAAACAAAACAGCCCUUUUUUUGAGCAGCCCAACUUACCACCCUUACCAUAGUGAAUCAGAUGCAGUGAACAAUAAAACCCACAAAUGCCUGACACACAUAUUGCUGAGAAGGCUUAAGGAAAUACCAAAUGCAGAUCUUCACUCUCUGACAAGCAUGUGCUUCUAGCAUACUGUGUACUUCCAGCUCUGUAAGUUUGGAUAAUUCCAUUUGUGAGGUAGUUUUAAUGCAAACCAUAUCUAGAUACCCAAGUAGGUGGCUCUCUAUAUGCCAGACACGGUGAUAUGUUUCAUUAAACAAAGCUACCCUUCUUUGGAUAUACAAUAUUUUUUUUAGAGAAAUAUAUAAGAUCUCAGUACUAGUUGCAUUAUUUAGAGUUUGUAUACCUCAUGGAAUGUGACAUAAAUAUUAUUUCUUUAAAGCAACCAGAAAAGGCUAUUUGUCUCUUUUAGUAUGACUCAUACAAUAAUUCAAUUUACAUACUUAAAUCAAAUGAAUCGUCUGUCUCAUGCUAACUUCUUUCAACCUCUUUUAUUAUGAUAUAAGUUGUUUGUUUUGUUUCCAAAAUCUAAUACUCCAUCUCCCUUGUACUAUCAGUGUGUAUGAAUAAUGAAUAUUUGGUGCCUUUUAAUACCUCUUAGUUUAUCAUAACAGGCAAUGUCUUACAUCACAGCCAAUUUCAUUGAUUAUAUGCAAUUUACUGAAUAUGUAUGUCAUCUAGCCUGUAUUAGGCUGGGUUAUGACUGUAUAUAUAUGAACACUGCCAGCUGCUUUAGCACUUACAAGCUCCUGAUUAGCCAAAUUACAGUCUUGGACUUAACAAGACACAAAGAUAUGCUUUGUGCUCCUUAUGAUACUGCUCUUUGGAGAAAUAUUUUAGUACCUUUGGAACCGGCCAUAGCAUUGAAAACAUAAAAGCUAAUGGCCUUUAUGACUGAGAAACCAUGAAAGAAAUGCUGAUGUGCACAGUAAGUUAAAAUUAACACAGGUGCUUACAAUGCUUUUCCAUCAGCACAAAGUCCUUGAUUUAGAAGGCCUUAAGGUAGAUGGUUAAUUACUUGCUGAAUCAGGUUGAGAAUGCUUAUACAAAAGCCUUUGCUAAUUUGGAGGAAGAAAAGUUCAAGGCAAAUAUGUUUCAAGCUUUGGAAUGUGUAUGGAACUUGUGACAAAAUGAACAGAGUAAUUCCUGUAUCAGUGGGAGGCACUUUCCAUGCCUGUGGCCCGCAGGUUACCUGUGGGUUUUAAAAACAUGAUCCUCCAUCCUUAAUUCUUCCAAAGCAAGACUAUUGGUGGGAGGACAACAUCAGGAUCUUACCUGUGAGGCAGGCAGGUGUGGAUUUAUGAGGUGUAGAGAGAUUAGCUGCCAUUCAUCGUUACCAACCUGUGGCUCUUUCUAAACCUCAGGGUUUGGAGGGAAGGGGGAGCUAGGAGAUUGAAAAGCCUUUCCACAGAUAUUGCUGUAGUUUCCAAUACUUGCUUCCAGUACCAAGGCAGCCUCAGUUUUAUGGGUUGCUGGCUUCAAGUGGGCAUACUUUAUGGCCAGUCAAGUUCCAGAAUGUCCAGUUGCCUCUCUGAAGGGAUCAGCUUGGCCUUUCCUGGGGGAUCAAGGUAGGCAAUGGACCAUGGAGAGGCUUUUGUUCCAAUGGGAGCUGUCCUGGAGCCAGAAGCAAGGCAGAAGGAAAGAGGGAGAAGUUCUCAUCCUGGGCAACUUGGCUUUCUCAUGUGGCCAAGAGCUCUUUUUUUUUUUUUUUUUUUUUUUUCCAUGGGUAAGCCCAGUGUGCUGAUGAACCAUGACAGAUUAUUCAAGAGCUUGUUUCCAAGGAAUAGUAAACAUAAAGGGCAGUGGGGUUCGUGAGUUAACAGUUGCAUACAUCAGAGUGUGGCACUCCUCUGUAGGUAUGUGACUUAGGAAAUCAGAGAAAGGUGCUGAAAAUCUUCCCGACAGAAAGCCCUGGUACACACAAAAAUUUCCAACUAUAUCCCAUCACCAGUGAUGAGGUCCCAAGUGCUGGCCCACAUCAUCGUGAUCGGGAUGGAAGAGCAAAAGAAGGCAGGGGAACCCGGGUCAGGUGCAGCUGUGGCCCUACUUAGGAAUUUUGUUGUAGAGCCAUCAGAGAAUUUCUUCCCUAGGAAACAUGGUGAGGUCAUGCAAGUGCUCAGAUCAGGCUCCAGUUGAGUCUUAUACUGAUUAGCAAAAGAUUUAAUUUCACUCUGAUUAAAAAAGAGCAGAUGAAGAGGUAUGCUGAAUAAUCCCUACAGGCAUGUAUCAGCUCCUAGGCAAACCUUUUUAUUCUGCUAUGGUGUAUGACAAAAGCUCUAAAUUUUAACUUGACAUUUUUUUUCUGAAGGGCCCUUUUCCAUAAAUUUCCCAGGCUCUUGUUUUUGAGAUUGUUACUGUGCAGAAAGAAAACAUCCUUGCUGCUUGCUUAUUAGAAUAUAUUUAUUUAUCUGUACCAUACAACAAACCUUAUUUAUUUUCCUACAUUCAUAUAGUAAAUCCUGUAAAUAUGCUCUUAGUAAUCACCAACAUGAUUUUCAGGACUGUAAUUCAUAAAUGAAACUCAUGAAAAAUAUUUUUGUCCGUUUUAAAUAACUCUACACAUUUAAUACAUUGAGUCAUAUGCAAAUUUGAUUAAGGGAGAUAUUAUCUUCCUCUUGCUGGAAGUUUCACUCAUAAAUGAGAAGAUUAAUGUUUGUGAACAACUUUUCAAAAAAUCAGCUCGUCACAAGUUCUCUUUCUGCCUGCAAGAAAUUGAACUCCAAAAUAGGAUGGCACAAGUUAUGUUUCUACAUUUUCCAUUCCUUAGUAUAUCCACUACCACAAGAAAAUGUUGAAAUACUUCUGAACUAAGAUACAUCUGACGGGUUCCAAGGGCUAUAAAGCAAUGUUCUAGCUUAAGGAACACACUGUUAGACACAGAGCUAUUGUUUAAAAGUGAAACAACCCACAACACACAAAAAAGUUGUGGACAGCUACAACUUACGUAAGCUAGUAGCCAAACAAUGGGUUGUUCUCAUACAACAUUAACACUGACAUAAAUUCAUGGAUUUUAAGGGUUUCUGUCAAACAAAGAUUUUAGAACAUUUUGCUGGAAAUAAAUGCAUAGAUACAAGAGUUCAUCUAUGCGUGCAUAUAAUCAGAGCAAUGGUAUACAUACAUAUUUCCUAGUAAAAGAGAAGUAUACACUAAUGUGAAGAAAAAUAUAUUGCUCAAUAGUCUUUUGAAAGAAUUUCAUCAAAGUCCCUUUGACAUUUAAUAUCAUGGUGAUCUGUAAUCAAAUCUGGGACAAAUUUAGCACUCCCAUGUCUUCUUUAUUAAACGUAGGUGGUUUUCCUGCAUACCUUAAUAAAACAAUGGGAAUAGGACUUCCACUCUAGUUCAUGAGGGCAACUCCAGAAAUUUCUGAAACUCAUUCCUAAUUUAUUCCAUUUGCAGCUGUUUCUUUAAGGUUUCUCUUCUUUUAUCAGAAGAAACGUAGGAAUAAGGAACACUUCCAAGUAAUAAGUACACACCUAAUUUAUUACACCAGGAAAAGCAAUGUUCAGAGGCUCCAUGAAAGAAAUCUCACUCAAGUAGAUGAGUUGUUUCAUAUAAUGGCUUUUUGUUAUUGUUGUGCUUUGCUUUUUGUUUUCUGUUUUUUAUUUUUUGUCAGCUUCUCUCUUUAAUAACGGGCUUUUUUCUUCAUUGACUUCUUGCUGAACUCCUUUGUAGAUCUGUCACAUCAGAUUAGCUUGUUCAUGUUCACAAUGCCCUGUCUUCUGGAGAGUUAUGCCUGUAAGGAGAAUAAAACUCAUCCCUCAACUUCAAGCAGACAGAAAACACACCUCUGUCCAAGUUUCUCCAAGGCCCUUUUGUACAUAGAGCAGCGUGUUUCCAUAACAGAUGUUAUAAUGACAUUUCUCUCCCACUGCUUUCCAUGUGAGACGAAUGUGAAGGAGGUUCUUCAGAGGAGGUUUUUUUUUUUUUUUUCCAGUUAAACAAGGAGAACAGACACACUAGCACUCUAAAAUAUUUUUGAGCCACCCCUAUUGUGCAUCCAGUGGUCAGGAGCAAACUAAAUGCAUCCUGGGGCUUGAGGGUGACUUUCAGCCUGACAGAUUGAGGUCGUCUAGCACAGUUCGCCAAGUACUUGCACGUUCAGUAAAUCUCUUCAUUAGGGUACUCCUCCCUCUUUAGAUCUCCCAAGCUAGAAAAGCACAUUUGCAAAGACAAGUUGCUGCUGGUUGAAGCCCUUGGGCCAGUGAGUGGGUGGAGUGGCUGCCAUGGUUGUGUAAGGCUCUGGGCCACACAGCAAAAGCAGGGACCAAAGUCACUCACUGUGGAGCAGGGGUGAGCCUGGGGAGCAGACAGGAUGGCCAGCCAGAGGCUGCUGCCCACAGCAAGCUCUCCUUUUUGUGCUGUGGGACAGUUCAGUCAUUAUCUUCUCCCUCACCCACUCCCACCCCAUCUCUUUUUUAAUUUAACACAGAGGAUGAAAUUUUGGCUCAAUGUAAAUAGGAUUUUUACCACUGAUUUCAAUAUGGCAAGAAUUUCAUCUAAACCCUCCAUGCCUCACUGAAGACAAUAACACAAAGAACACUAUUUUGGAACGGAGAAAGGCACCGUAUUUGUGAUCUGCUUUGUUUAUUGUGUUUGGGGGCUUCAAGAUGUAGUCACCCACCCACUUCUUUAUUAAAUGUUAAUUUGGCUUUUGAAAGUUUUACAAGCUACAGUAAAACAAUAAUUAAAAGUUUGUACGCAAUUUCCAUAGCUGGUUUUCAUUCCUCAGGGAGUAUUAAUUCUGGUUUAAUUUGUUUUUCAUUUUCAUUGUGCAACUAAACACAGUUUGUUUUUAAAAGGAGGAUCAAACUGAUGCUGAAAUAUGCAUACAUGUGUUGGCAGGCACUUCUCAAGAAGGACUGCAACCUGUGAACUUGGACCUCAAACAACAAAUGUGCAGAGCUCACAUGAACUUGAAGUUGCCCUUUUUUUUUGUGACAUCUAUAAACAUUUAUGAAGCUUUGUUUUUAUUCCAGUAAAUCUAUGUUGUUAUUUUGGGUCUUUUAAUAGUGUCUAUUUAUAUCGUGAAAUCAUGACAACUGCGUUGUCUUUCUGGAAAGCCACAGGUCAAGGGUCUGCUAAGCAAAUACUAACACAUGUGAGUAACUUCCCUCAUAUGAAUAAUUAGACUGAUCUUAACAGAGUGGUGUUUUUAGGAUCAAGCUCCCAAUAUUUUGACAUACUUCCUGAAAUGUUUUGUAGAUAGGAGCUGUUGACUUUCAUAUGGUGAAAAAAUAAUUUGAACGCCAAAAAGCCCCUCCAAAAGAAGGGAACAUAUUUGGGUCAUCAGGUCUUAACAAUUACAGUUUCACGUGUUAGCUUUCUUUUCCUAGGUACAAGAAGUGUUGGAAGAACAUUUACUCAGAAGAGAUCAAGUAGAAUUACUGUCAAAGGUUUGUGUAAGUUAGCAUAUAUAAUGCUUCCCCUGGUUGUAUGCAAAAACAUUUGGAGAUCUCUGUAUUUUUUUCCCCUCAUCUUCUAGGAAAAAUGAUGGAAUUAAUUACUACAACUGGGAUAUAUUAAAUUUUAUAACUUAUAUCAUGUACCUUUGCCAUGAAGAAAUAGAAAAAUGUAUACAUGGGAACAUCCCUUUAAUGAUAAGAACUACAAAAAUUCAUGCUUCCUAUGAUAAAUAUUAUUCUGUAUUUAAGGCUAUGCCUGGAUAUACUUCCUCUGUAGUGCAUGUGUUAUGAAAGUAAACAGAAUUCUGAGACAGAAUUCUGAUCAUACAAAGUGUACAUAAACUUGAAGUUGUGUGGAAUAGGCAUCUUUCCUUAAAAAGAGAAUUUCCUCAUCAUCUACUGAGAUAUUAAAUUGAUUCUUGGAAAGGUUUUUGUGAAUACACUAAUCCAUUUUUUCCUGCCAUUUGCACAGAUUCUUGGUGUGUUAGAAUGCAAUUCCAGUAAAAACUUCUCUCAGAAAAGCAUGUCAGGAACAAAUUAGCUCUUUACUCUUUAUUGAAAUAUAUUCAAGGGUUUGCCAUGUUGUCUUCUGUACCUUAUUCUCAAAAUAAAUAUUUUAUACUUAUGCUUAACUGCUGCUAGUAAAUUGCAGAAAUUUUUUGCUUAAGUUCAUUCUUGCAAUAAAGGUGGAAAAGUUUUGUAAUAGCUUGAGUGCAAAUUAAUAUCUAUGAAUGUCUGUAUCUUUUUCAUUUUUAACCUGAUAUUAAUUAUUUCCUUUAUUUUACCUUGCUAAAAUAUCCUGCUUGAAAUAUUUCUUUAAGUAAAAUUCCACAAAGCUUGCAAAGAACCUGCAGUCCAGGUAGCAUACCAUUCCUGAUGGCAGAAAGAGCAUACUGUCCAUUAAUGUUGAGUCCUGUGCGUGGUCUGUCCGGUGAUACACAAUGUCAUUUAAGACAUUUCAUCAUUCUCUGCUUGAGCACUCUUCUCUAAUCUGAUGAGGUACCCUGGGAAGAAACAAUGAUAGCCAAGGCAUUAAAAUGUAAUCAAGAUAUGCAAAUUCAUGUCUAAAUGUGAUUUGCUUGGAAAGAGAAAUUAAUCUAGGCAUGGCCAAAUAAACAGUGUGUAAUAUGGAUAAUUAAUCACCAAAUUAGCAGCUGUAGUCCCAUGAGAAGAUUAUGUAAAUGAAAAAGGCCCCCAUCUACGGUCCCAAUUAGACUACUUAAUACCAAACUCUAAACAAAACACAGCCCCUGGGAGCGCCAUAAAAUAAGGAAGUGAGUCAGUCUGAGUGGGUCAUUCUCCAAGUUUCACAAGCACGUUUCAUAACUACGUUAUUUUUCCUGAUUUACAGAAAGUAAUUUAUCAGUCAGAUAUAUCAGGCUCACUGAACAACUUGUAACCUUGAAAUUCCACUGAAGUUGCUUUACACAAGCCUAAACUUCUGUGCAUACAACCUAAAUCAGCAGUUAAAGAAGACAGGUACUAGAGUGCAAGUCCUUAAUCCCAGGGCCCAGAGUAAUAGGGAUCAAUACUGCAGGUAAAGGUGAGAGCUCCAGACAUAUGCUAGGUGCCCUCUGUGUAUUUGGAAAUUAUAUCCAGCAGUUUCAAUUACUGCUUUACACUUACAUUUCCAUAACAGAUCAGUCCUAUCUUGUUUCAGAAAAUGGUAUUUUCUCCAUAUUUCCAAGUACAAACCUUCCUGAAGUAAGUACUUUCCACUGGUUAACCAAAUUGAGGAUACCUUAUGUGAAUUAGGCUUGGGUAUGGUACUACCUGGCUCAUGACAGCAGAUAGUUUUCCCUGAGGCUGUGCAUCACACUAAGACCAGGACCCUAUCUGGAAUACAUAAAAUAUUAUCAAGUUAAGGAACUUGACCCAUAGGUGAAGGGAUCUAUUCAGCAUUUGAUGUACAGCUUCCUUGAGACACUUCAGUAGGUCUGAUAGAUUCAGCUUAACACUGACUUGACACAGAUGGAAAUAUGUUGACUUUUCUGGACACAAUUUUAGAUGUUUUUUGAUGAAAAAAUAAUAAUCUGACUCUUGUAUUCAUUUACAGUCAAAGCAAUUGUUCAAAUAUCAAAGUUGGCAAGGGAUUUGAAUUUCCAUCUUCUGAUGAACUUUACAUCAUUAAUUCCAUGGAAAGGAUCUUUGUUCAGUGUAGGACAGAAACUGCACAGUGCAUUCUCAGCCAAGAAAAGCAGAGCUUCGCACUUGUGAUCUCUGGUUAUCUGUUACUAUAAGCUUUUGAAGGUGGAAGAUACCCCUGAAAAUACAACACUGUUGCAAACUAACUUAAGGUAGAACUGAUCUGAACAGUCACUGGGAGAGAAUACAAACUCCAUUCGUGGAAAAGAGGAGUUUCCUUUUUUUCUGAAAUGCUUGUGUUGGUCUUUCGAUGCUCUGGACUCCAAAUGACUUUCUACUUACUCUACAUCUGUUCAGAAUAAACUGCACUCAUUUUAUUUAUUUAUUUUUUACUCCUUGUGAAGCUAUUUGUGGAUUCUUUAGGUAAGGUUUUCAAAUAACUUCUUUGUACAGCUAUGUAACACUUGUUAUAUAGCUCCUGUGCAAGGCUUCCAAAGCUGCACAGUAACAAGGUUAGUACAGAAUAUUUUACUCUUCUCACAGUUAACUGACAUACUGAGUGCAGUAGUUUCAUGUUGUGUUAUCAGUACAAUGAGGUAUAUUCCUUUUGCAAACUACAGCAUGAGUUUUCUUGCUAAUGCCGAUUUUGUUUUUGGAUCUGAG
Molecule: long non-coding RNA, 17200 nt
Filed under: Gallus gallus (chicken)
Lineage: Eukaryota; Metazoa; Chordata; Aves; Galliformes; Phasianidae
Description: lncRNA (ENSGALG00010014101.1)
Source: RNAcentral